UCUCCGUGGUUGUGGUGCGGUUCACUAC
RNAcentral lists this non-coding RNA (28 nucleotides) under Bombyx mori (domestic silkworm). The record is from RNAcentral. Lineage: Eukaryota; Metazoa; Arthropoda; Insecta; Lepidoptera; Bombycidae.